GUUGUAAAGAGUUUGCAAAGAUUGUCGAGUUUCAAAGUUCACAUCACAUCCACACCAAUAUAUAUUCAUUUCCUCACUAGUUACUAAUUUCGAGAGGUAAUUCCUCAAGUUUUUUGUGAAGCGCGGUAACGCAACCGACCUCGGAGACGUCGGCGAGAGUUCUGGAAAGAGUUCUCUUUUAUUUUGUGAAGAAUGCAUCCACACCGUGGAAUCAGCUUGUCCGCAGAUGGGGUGCUAGCCUUCGUAAAAUAUUACCCUGCUUAUAGUGUACGUAACACUCUUGUCGGCCCUUGAAAAUCCGAACGAGGCAGUAUAAUUUUCGUGGCAGGCCGUACCCAUAUCCACAGCAAGUCUCCAAGGUGAACAGCUUCU
This is a non-coding RNA of Schistosoma rodhaini, 372 nucleotides long. NCBI's taxonomy places the organism in Eukaryota, Metazoa, Platyhelminthes, Trematoda, Strigeidida, Schistosomatidae. The record is from Rfam.